GCCUAAAGCGUCCGUAGCCUGAUCUAUAAGUGUCCGGUUAAAUCCACAUGCUCAACAUUUGGGCUGCCGGAAAAACUGUAGAUCUAGGGAGUGGGAGAGGUAGACGGUACUCGAUAGGAAGGGGUAAAAUCCUUUGAUCUAUUGAUGACCACCAGUGGCGAAGGCGGUCUACCAGAACACGUUCGACGGUGAGGGAUGAAAGCUGGGGGAGCAAACCGGAUUAGAUACCCGGGUAGUCCCAGCUGUAAACGAUGCAGACUCGGUGAUGCAUUGGCUUGUGGCCAGUGCAGUGCCGCAGGGAAGCCGUUAAGUUUGCCGCCUGGGAAGUACGUACGCAAGUAUGAAACUUAAAGGAAUUGGCGGGGGAGCACCACAAGGGGUGAAGCCUGCGGUUCAAUUGGAGUCAACGCCAGAAAUCUUACCCGGAGAGACAGCAGAAUGAAGGUCAAGCUGAAGACUUUACCAGACAAGCUGAGAGGCGGUGCAUGGCCGUCGCCAGCUCGUGCCGUGAGAUGUCCUGUUAAGUCAGGUAACGAGCGAGACCCUUGCCUCUAGUUGCCACCAUUGCUCUCUGGAGCAGUGGGGCGAAUUAGCGGGACCGCCGCAGUUAAUGCGGAGGAAGGAAAGGGCUACGGCAGGUCAGUAUGCCCCGAA
This 654-nucleotide ribosomal RNA is filed under the name uncultured archaeon. RNAcentral's name for it is "bacterial SSU rRNA". It matches the Rfam family "Archaeal small subunit ribosomal RNA", at positions 508 to 1160 of the family's 1478-position model. The record is from RNAcentral.